This 30-nucleotide non-coding RNA is filed under the name Rattus norvegicus (Norway rat). Lineage: Eukaryota; Metazoa; Chordata; Mammalia; Rodentia; Muridae. The record is from RNAcentral.
UGCCCCAGAGCUGCACCUGGCCCCAGGGAC